RNAcentral lists this ribosomal RNA (440 nucleotides) under uncultured bacterium. Its description in RNAcentral is "partial 16S ribosomal RNA". It matches the Rfam family "Bacterial small subunit ribosomal RNA", at positions 338 to 795 of the family's 1533-position model. The record is from RNAcentral.
CCUACGGGUGGCAGCAGUGGGGGAUAUUGCACAAUGGGGGAAACCCUGAUGCAGCGACGCCGCGUGGGUGAAGAAGCGCCUCGGCGCGUAAAGCCCUGUCAGCAGGGAAGAAAAUGACGGUACCUGAAGAAGAAGCCCCGGCUAACUACGUGCCAGAAGCCGCGGUAAUACGUAGGGGGCAAGCGUUAUCCGGAUUUACUGGGUGUAAAGGGGGCGCAGACGGCGAUGCAAGCCAGAAGUGAAAGCCCGGGGCCCAACCCCGGGACUGCUCUUGGAACUGCGUGGCUAGAGUGCAGGAGGGGCAGGCGGAAUGCAUGGUGUAGCGGUGAAAUGCGUAGAGAUCAGGCGGAACACCGGUGGCGAAGGCGGCCUGCUGGGCUGCAACUGACGUUGAGGCCCGAAAGCGUGGGGAGCAAACAGGAUUAGAUACCCCUGUAGUC